CUCAUCUUCAGGUGGCUGGCUUUCCUCUGCCCUGGGGAAUAUGCUGUGUCAGGGAUUCAGCCUUGGCUUCUGCUAUUGGCAGGCUGAGGAGGAGGAAGAGGAAGGUUGGCCUUGCUGUCUCAGGAGUGGUAGAAGCAGAAGAGGUGGAAGACAUGGAAUGGGAGGCAGGAGAGGCAGGCAUACUUGAUGCAUCUCCCUGAUAAGAAGUCUGAAUAGAUAGCAGCCAAGUUACUAAACACCUUCCUUCUGCAAGACAAACAGAAGAUAGAAACAAAUUCAUACAAGAUGUUUAGAUAGGAAGAAGGAGAAAUUUGAAAAAGAACAUUAAAGGGUAAUACCUAAUGCUGCAUCAAUGUCAUGCUUACUGGAAGUGGCAUUUUGGAGGAUCAAAUAUUUAUGAAUUCAACUGCCCACAAUAGAGCCUAUUUUAGCAACCACUGGGACAGACAUCUAAAACGAGGCUGCAAUGAGAGGAGUUGAAGAACUGGCCUUUCUGACCAUAAGAUAAGCAUAAAAAUCUACUUUGGUUUAUCUUAAAAUCUAUUAAAUAU
This is a non-coding RNA of Microcebus murinus (gray mouse lemur), 551 nucleotides long. Lineage: Eukaryota; Metazoa; Chordata; Mammalia; Primates; Cheirogaleidae. The record is from RefSeq and is a predicted model, not a curated record.